CCUACGGGAGACAGCAGUAGGGAAUCUUUCACAAUGGGCGAAAGCCUGAUGGAGCAACGCCGCGUGCAGGAUGAAGGCCUUCGGGUUGUAAACUGCUUUUAUAAGCGAGAAAUAUGAUGGUAACUUAUGAAUAAGGAACGGCUAACUACGUGCCAGCAGCCGCGGUCAUACGUAGGAUCCGAGCAUUAUCCGGAGUGACUGGGUGUAAAGAGUUGCGUAGGUGGCAUAAUAAGUAGCUAGUGAAAUCUGGUGGCUCAACCAUUCAGACUAUUAGCUAAACUGUUAAGCUCGAGACCGUUAGGGGUAACUGGAAUGUGUAGUGUAGGAGUGAAAUCCGUAGAUAUUAGAAGGAACACCGAUAGCGAAGGCAGGUUGCUGGGACGGUUCUGACACUAAGGCACGAAAGCGUAGGGAGCAAACGGGAUUAGAUACCCCUGUAGUC
This 442-nucleotide ribosomal RNA is filed under the name uncultured bacterium. Its description in RNAcentral is "partial 16S ribosomal RNA". It matches the Rfam family "Bacterial small subunit ribosomal RNA", at positions 338 to 795 of the family's 1533-position model. The record is from RNAcentral.